RNAcentral lists this transfer RNA (66 nucleotides) under Chirocentrus nudus (whitefin wolf-herring). Its description in RNAcentral is "tRNA-Cys". It matches the Rfam family "tRNA". Rfam says of the family: Transfer RNA (tRNA) molecules are approximately 80 nucleotides in length. The record is from RNAcentral. Lineage: Eukaryota; Metazoa; Chordata; Actinopteri; Clupeiformes; Chirocentridae.
AGCUCUGUAGUGAAGUUCAUGCCGGGUUGCAAACCCGGAGACGCAGAGUAAAAUCUGCCGGGGCUU